Molecule: microRNA precursor, 59 nt
Filed under: Echinops telfairi (small Madagascar hedgehog)
Lineage: Eukaryota; Metazoa; Chordata; Mammalia; Afrosoricida; Tenrecidae
Description: Ete-Mir-423_pre stem-loop
Source: RNAcentral
UGAGGGGCAGAGAGCGAGACUUUUCUGUUUUCCAAAAGCUCGGUCUGAGGCCCCUCAGU